Long non-coding RNA from Anthonomus grandis grandis, 682 nucleotides. RefSeq lists it as uncharacterized. Lineage: Eukaryota; Metazoa; Arthropoda; Insecta; Coleoptera; Curculionidae. The transcript has 3 exons. The record is from RefSeq and is a predicted model, not a curated record.
CAAACUUUUGUAGUUACGUUUCAUUUCAAUUUGCGCAACACCGUUUUUUAACUACAACGCGUCAGAUAAACGAAACAGAUAUAUGCAGCGUUAAUGUAUCAAAAGAAGAUAAAAUGAUAAAUGUCAGUGGUUCUAAAACAAUUACUUUCAUAACAAACAUGCCUGUCUCGUUUCGAUUGACGGAUGACAUUAUUUGUCACAAGAUAAUUUAAAUUUCAAAUUAUGGAAAAGAAAAAGCCUUUUUGUGGAUUUCUAAAUCCUCAAGCCAAAAAAAAGGUAAGCUGCCUUAAAGCCUAAGAAACUAGUUUCUACCUUAGUAUUGCGCUCUUCAAUGGUAUUGGUCACACUUAAUUAGAUUUCCACAUAAAGAUUGAAAAUUUAAGGCUAAUAACUGAAGGUUUGGAUUUUGGAUGAAAAUUUGGUCGCCAAUCAUAGUACGGCUUAACUUACGUGGACCAUGUAGAUCGUUCGAUCUACAUUUGAUUUCGACUAAUGCAGAUCUGUUGAACCACUUGCCUAAAUUCAGUAAAUCAAUUACUGUUUAAGGGACUUUUGAACAUCUCAAUCACUUUUGAUAUUUCUGCAAAAAAAAGGAAUUUCCUUAUGACCAAAAUUAGUUUAGUUAUGAAAAUUUAAUGUUUAGUAGUGCUCUCACAGAUCUAUUAAAUGUUAUUAUCCUUAA